This is a long non-coding RNA of Pantherophis guttatus, 460 nucleotides long. RefSeq lists it as uncharacterized. The record is from RefSeq and is a predicted model, not a curated record. NCBI's taxonomy places the organism in Eukaryota, Metazoa, Chordata, Lepidosauria, Squamata, Colubridae.
GGAAGAAACAAGGCCGCGGCCUGAAUGGAGCCUCUUCUUUGGGGGCGCUUCUCCUUCGCUUUCCUCCCCUUGCCCCUAAAAGCCACGAAACACGGGGGGCUUGCAAUUGUAAGGGUAGUGGGGGCCCUGCGUGCUUCGGGGUCCGGCCGUGGGCCUGGCAUCGGCUUAAGACAUCUCCCCCUGGGGGGGGGGCUUUUGCAAUAACGGCCAUAAUUAGUUGCCCCCCCCCCAAAAAACCCCAUCGCCAUCUGUCCUUUGCUGGGUGGCAGAAAGUAAGGUUGCCCGUGGUUACAAGAAUGAAAAUGGAAGCAGGCCACUUACCAUUUCCCUCCUCUUCUGUGAAGCAGAAAUGAAAAGAGCGCACAUACCUAGCUCGUGCGGGAAUUCUUCACAGAGAAUGGCCACCGAGGUGCUGAUGCCCUGGAAGACCGAGACGGUGAAGGAGGCGCCAAUUGCCAGC